GGAUGAACGCUAGCGGCAGGCUUAACACAUGCAAGUCGAACGGUAAGGUCUUGCUUGCAGGAUACACGAGUGGCGCACGGGUGAGUAACGCGUAUACAAUCUACCUUUAACUGGGGUAUAGCCCAAAGAAAUUUGGAAUAAUCCCCCAUAAUAUUUCGAAAUGGCAUCGUUUUGAUCUUAAAGCUCCGGCGGUUAAAGAUGAGUAUGCGUCCCAUUAGUUUGUUGGUAAGGUAACGUCUUACCAAGACUGCGAUGGGUAGGGGGCCUGAGAGGGUGACCCCCCACACUGGUACUGAGACACGGACCAGACUCCUACGGGAGGCAGCAGUGAGGAAUAUUGGUCAAUGGGCGAAAGCCUGAACCAGCCAUGCCGCGUGAAGGAUGACGGCCCUACGGGUUGUAAACUUCUUUUAUUCAGGAAGAAACCUUCGGACGUGUCCGAAGUUGACGGUACUGUUUGAAUAAGGAUCGGCUAACUCCGUGCCAGCAGCCGCGGUAAUACGGAGGAUCCAAGCGUUAUCCGGAUUUACUGGGUUUAAAGGGUGCGUAGGCGGGAUAAUAAGUCAGUGGUGAAAUCCUACAGCUUAACUGUAGAACUGCCAUUGAUACUGUUAUUCUUGAGUACAGCUUAAGUAGGCGGAAUGUGUCAUGUAGCGGUGAAAUGCAUAGAUAUGACACAGAACACCGAUAGCGAAGGCAGCUUACUGAACUGUUACUGACGCUGAGGCACGAAAGCGUGGGGAGCGAACAGGAUUAGAUACCCUGGUAGUCCACGCCGUAAACGAUGAUUACUCGAUGUAUGCAUUUAAUGUAUGCGUCCUAGUUAACGCGUUAAGUAAUCCACCUGGGGAGUACGAUCGCAAGGUUGAAACUCAAAGGAAUUGACGGGGGCCCGCACAAGCGGAGGAGCAUGUGGUUUUAUUCGAUGAUACGCGAGGAACCUUACCUGGGCUUAAAUGCUGAAUGAUUUUUUGGGAAACCAAAUUUUCCUUCGGGACAGUUAGCAAGGUGCUGCAUGGCUGUCGUCAGCUCGUGCCGUGAGGUGUUUGGUUAAGUCCAAUAACGAGCGCAACCCCUAUCAUUAGUUGCCAGCGGAUAAUGCCGGGGACUCUAGUGAAACUGCCUGCGCAAGCUGUGAGGAAGGUGGGGAUGACGUCAAGUCAGCACGGCCCUUAUGUCCAGGGCUACACACGUGCUACAAUGGCCAGCACAAAGGGUUGCUACCUGGUGACAGGAUGCUAAUCUCAAAAUCUGGUCUCAGUUCGGAUUGAAGUCUGCAAUUCGACUUCAUGAAGUUGGAUUCGCUAGUAAUCGUAUAUCAGCAAUGAUACGGUGAAUACGUUCCCGGGCCUUGUACACACCGCCCGUCAAGCCAUGGAAGUUAGGGGUACCUAAAGUCGGUCACCGCAAGGAGCCGCCUAGGGUAAAACUAGUAACUGGGGCUAAGUCGUAACAAGGUA
This 1460-nucleotide ribosomal RNA is filed under the name metagenome. RNAcentral describes it as "bacterial SSU rRNA". It matches the Rfam family "Bacterial small subunit ribosomal RNA". The record is from RNAcentral.